UACGGAGGGUGCAAGCGUUGUCCGGAAUCACUGGGCGUAAAGGGCGUGUAGGCGGCUCAUGAAGGCUGUGGUGAAAGUCCGGGGCUCAACCUCGGAUCGGCCGUGGCGACUCGUGGGCUGGAGCACUGUAGAGGCAGGUGGAAUUCCGGGUGUAGCGGUGGAAUGCGUAGAGAUCCGGAAGAACACCAGUGGCGAAGGCGACUUACUGGACACAUAUUGACGCUGAGGUGCGAAAGCGUGGGGAGCAAACAGG
RNAcentral lists this ribosomal RNA (253 nucleotides) under uncultured bacterium. RNAcentral describes it as "partial 16S ribosomal RNA". It matches the Rfam family "Bacterial small subunit ribosomal RNA", at positions 524 to 776 of the family's 1533-position model. The record is from RNAcentral.